CUACGGGAGGCUGCAGUGGGGAAUAUUGCACAAUGGGCGCAAGCCUGAUGCAGCCAUGCCGCGUGUAUGAAGAAGGCCUUCGGGUUGUAAAGUACUUUCAGCGGGGAGGAAGGGAGUAAAGUUAAUACCUUUGCUCAUUGACGUUACCCGCAGAAGAAGCACCGGCUAACUCCGUGCCAGCAGCCGCGGUAAUACGGAGGGUGCAAGCGUUAAUCGGAAUUACUGGGCGUAAAGCGCACGCAGGCGGUUUGUUAAGUCAGAUGUGAAAUCCCCGGGCUCAACCUGGGAACUGCAGCUGAUACUGGCAAGCUUGAGUCUCGUAGAGGGGGGUAGAAUUCCAGGUGUAGCGGUGAUAUGCGUAGAGAUCUGGAGGAAUACCGGUGGCGAAGGCGGCCCCCUGGACGAAGACUGACGCUCAGGUGCGAAAGCGUGGGGAGCAAACAGGAUUAGAUACCCUCGUAGUC
This 464-nucleotide ribosomal RNA is filed under the name uncultured bacterium. RNAcentral's name for it is "partial 16S ribosomal RNA". It matches the Rfam family "Bacterial small subunit ribosomal RNA", at positions 339 to 795 of the family's 1533-position model. The record is from RNAcentral.